GACGAACGCUGGCGGCGUGCUUAACACAUGCAAGUCGAACGGAAAGGCCCUGCUUUUGUGGGGUGCUCGAGUGGCGAACGGGUGAGUAACACGUGAGUAACCUGCCCUUGACUUUGGGAUAACUUCAGGAAACUGGGGCUAAUACCGGAUAGGAGCUCCUGCUGCAUGGUGGGGGUUGGAAAGUUUCGGCGGUUGGGGAUGGACUCGCGGCUUAUCAGCUUGUUGGUGGGGUAGUGGCUUACCAAGGCUUUGACGGGUAGCCGGCCUGAGAGGGUGACCGGCCACAUUGGGACUGAGAUACGGCGCAGACUCCUACGGGAGGCAGCAGGGGGGAAGAUUGCACAAUGGGCGGGAGCCUGAUGCAGCAACGCCGCGUGCGGGAGGACGGCCUUCGGGUUGUAAACCGCUUUCGCCUGUGACGAAGCGUGAGUGACGGUAAUGGGUGAAGAAGCACCGGCUAACUACGUG
This 468-nucleotide ribosomal RNA is filed under the name uncultured bacterium. RNAcentral describes it as "partial 16S ribosomal RNA". It matches the Rfam family "Bacterial small subunit ribosomal RNA", at positions 28 to 507 of the family's 1533-position model. The record is from RNAcentral.